RNAcentral lists this long non-coding RNA (1496 nucleotides) under Elaeis guineensis (African oil palm). RNAcentral describes it as "long non-coding RNA (EGUI_LNC075014)". Lineage: Eukaryota; Viridiplantae; Streptophyta; Magnoliopsida; Arecales; Arecaceae. The record is from RNAcentral.
AGACCAUUGCUUUAAAGACGGGAUGGGAUCUUUCCUUCUGAUCCUAAGCUGUGAACUCAUGGUCAAAUGGCUUCCGAGGUGGGCUUUCCCUUCUCUAUGGUAGCAUGGUCUUCUCCUAGGGUUUCUUUUGGUGGAGGAAAGGCUACUAGAAGCCUAGAAGGAAAAUAAGUCUGGGCUGGGGAACGAAGUGACUUACGGGAUUAAAUUAAGCGAGGGUUUUUACCUCGUACCAAGGACAGGUAAUGGCAAUGAAACUCGGGCCUGCUAUUGCUUUUCAACUUCCUAUGAAAGUGAACCGGGCGUAGCGAACAGAUCUUUCUCUUCCUAGUGCUGAGGAAGAAGAAGUAGCGAUAUGCCGCAAAUCGUCUGUUAACAUAUUCUUUCUCUUUCUCGAUAGCCAGCUUUUCAUAGCGUAAUUUCGUACCUUUACUAUGGAAUGUCAUUUUAUUCCCUAGAAGACAGAAGCAAUCGGUUUAUGACCUCUAGCUCAUCUCAGAUGCGGCCGGUGGAUGCGGAAUUACCGGUCUUUUUUAGGGGGCGAAGGCGUUCAUAAGAGAAGCAAGAUCGUAGCUUAGAAAGUCUUGCUGACUAUCUCCUCUAUCUAAGUAAGAGGAGGUUGAAGCUUAUAGGUAGUAGCCUAAGCGCUAAGAAGCUCCAAUCAUGCUACUUCAGCUAUAUGCUUAACACAUGCAAGUCGAACGUUGUUUUCGGGGAGCACCCCAAGCAACCUUCCUAUAGGUCAUAUCCCAGGCUUUUCUCUUCAUCUUUUGAAAAUGCUCUGACCCCGCCUACCUUAAAAUAGAGGGUGGCCCUUCUGGAGUAAGAAGAUCGAAAGGAAUAACAACUAGUCACGAUUAGGGACCCAUCCACAGCUAGGUUAUUUAUUUCCUAUACAUACCCUCCUCAAGCUUAUCGACUGGGCUGGGCCUAUUCGCGUGCGAGCCCACGUCAGGUUUUCCAAUGACUUAGCUUGACCUUGUCCUCUGGUUGGUUGGCCGGCUGAAUCAUCUCUUCGACCGUAGUGGGAACGCUUUUGUCUGGCUGUUAGAAACAUAUGAAAGACCGGCCUAUACCAGUUCGUAUCAGGGCCUUUUCUUCUGUUCGUGGGAACAUGUAACCUUCAAAAUAAUAACCUGUAGCUACGGCCGUCCCUGAACUCUUGCGGAAUUGCCCAUGGGCAUGAGCACUAUGUAUGGGCGAUCCCUCCCUAUAUGGAUACCAGAUAUGUGUGCCUACGAAAUGACCAGGGAAUAAACUGAUCGAGGCAAGGCCCGAUACGAACUAACAAACGAAUAUACCAGCAGCAGCCGUAGCACCAGUAAAAAAAGUAGUAGUUGGAGUUUCGCCAGCUUUCCUGAUUCAAGUUAUCCCAGGAAGAGGGCAAGAGGGAUUAGGCCUUGCUCGGGCUUCUUACCCAGCAUAUUGGAAGAAAAAAUCACCUGCCUCACAACCAGCGGAAUGAGGAUGAGGCGAGAAUUUCUUAUCGAUUCCGCNNN